GCGUUGUUCGGAAUGACUGGGCGUAAAGGGCGCGUAGGCGGUUUUUUAAGUGAGGCGUGAAAGCCCUGGGCUUAACCUAGGAGGUGCGUUUCAUACUGGAAGACUUGAGUACGAGAGAGGAAAGUGGAAUUCCUAGUGUAGAGGUGAAAUUCGUAGAUAUUAGGAAGAACACCAGUGGCGAAGGCGACUUUCUGGCUCGUAACUGACGCUGAGGCGCGAAAGCGUGGGGAGCAAACAGG
This 239-nucleotide ribosomal RNA is filed under the name uncultured bacterium. RNAcentral describes it as "partial 16S ribosomal RNA". It matches the Rfam family "Bacterial small subunit ribosomal RNA", at positions 538 to 776 of the family's 1533-position model. The record is from RNAcentral.